GAGAUAUUAGAAAAAUCAUUUCAUGGCUUUGUCAAAGCCAAAUUAUAGGCCGAAUCCUAUAUGUCUUA
RNAcentral lists this transfer RNA (68 nucleotides) under Cercopithecus mona (Mona monkey). RNAcentral describes it as "tRNA-Asp". The record is from RNAcentral. Lineage: Eukaryota; Metazoa; Chordata; Mammalia; Primates; Cercopithecidae.